RNAcentral lists this unclassified non-coding RNA (332 nucleotides) under soil metagenome. Its description in RNAcentral is "partial contains 5.8S ribosomal RNA, internal transcribed spacer 2, and large subunit ribosomal RNA". The stretch from base 1 to 120 matches the Rfam family "5.8S ribosomal RNA", at positions 35 to 154 of the family's 154-position model. The record is from RNAcentral.
GAUGAAGAACGCAGCGAAAUGCGAUAAGUAGGGUGAAUUGCAGAAUUCAGUGAAUCAUCGAAUCUUUGAACGCACAUUGCGCCCCUCGGUAUUCCGUGGGGCAUGCCUGUUCGAGCGUCAUUUACCCCUCAAGCACUGCUUGGUGUUGGGCGUCUGUCCCGCUUCGCGCGCGGACUCGCCCCAAAGGUAUUGGCAGCGGUCGUGCCAGCUUCUCGCGCAGCACAUUGCGCUUCUCGAGGCGGUCGAUCGGCGUCCACGAAGCUCACCUCCACCGUUUGACCUCGGAUCAGGUAGGGAUACCCGCUGAACUUAAGCAUAUCAAUAGCGGAGGA